Molecule: ribosomal RNA, 303 nt
Filed under: uncultured bacterium
Lineage: Bacteria
Description: partial 16S ribosomal RNA
Rfam family: Bacterial small subunit ribosomal RNA
Source: RNAcentral
AGCAGUAGCCGCGGUAAUACGAGGGGGGCAAGCGUUGUUCGGAAUUACUGGGCGUAAAGCGUGCGUAGGCGGUUUGUUAAGUCUGUUGUGAAAUCCCCGGGCUCAACCUGGGAAUGGCAAUGGAUACUGGCAAGCUAGAGUGUGUCAGAGGAUGGUGGAAUUCCCGGUGUAGCGGUGAAAUGCGUAGAGAUCGGGAGGAACAUCAGUGGCGAAGGCGGCCAUCUGGGACAACACUGACGCUGAGGCACGAAAGCGUGAGGAGCAAACAGGAUUAGAUACCCCUGUAGUCCUGUCUCUUAUACC